AUACGAAGGGGGCUAGCGUUGUUCGGAAUUACUGGGCGUAAAGCGCGCGUAGGCGGAUUGAUCAGUUAGGGGUGAAAUCCCAGGGCUUAACCCUGGAACUGCCUCUAAUACUGUCAGUCUUGAGUUCGGGAGAGGUGAGUGGAAUUCCUAGUGUAGAGGUGAAAUUCGUAGAUAUUAGGAAGAACACCAGUGGCGAAGGCGGCUCACUGGCCCGAUACUGACGCUGAGGCGCGAAAGCGUGGGGAGCAAACAGGAUUAGAAACCCUAGUAGUCC
This 274-nucleotide ribosomal RNA is filed under the name uncultured bacterium. RNAcentral's name for it is "partial 16S ribosomal RNA". It matches the Rfam family "Bacterial small subunit ribosomal RNA", at positions 523 to 796 of the family's 1533-position model. The record is from RNAcentral.